CUGCUCCCCUCGAGCCCGCGUGCCGUCACGCUGUCUGCGAGCCACGUGUUCGGCUGGGAUGAGGGGAAUCGGCCGUUGUUCACUCUCUAAUGUUUCCAGGACCUUGGGAUGUCACACCAGGACAAAACGAGAAGGUUGGGUUUGGAGUCCCUGUCUUAUUAAAAGAGAUCAGAUUCUGGUGUGCGACAAAUCCUUGGCAGUUAUGGAGACUCGCAGGGAGCAGCUGCCUGUGUGGAAGUGCAGCAGGAUCAUCCGUGUGAAUAAAUCAAUAGCAAUUCCCAGGAUUAUUGUGAUUACAACCUGUUUAUAUCACAUUACAUAAUGGGUUGCAGGCGCGGACGGUCCCCCAGCUCUGGCUGUGCAAACAGCUGUGCCCUGUCAGAAGUCCUCAGUGUCAGAUGCUCCCAGGAGCGCUGCGGGAACGGGAUGUCCUCCAGGCAAAGCAUCGCUCUCCAUGCCCCAGGCAAGCAGGAACGGGCUUGUACGGGAGCUUGGAUGUGCUAGGCAGGUGCUGGUGCUACAGCGUUUCAUGAGCUCUGACCUCCACAUGGUAUCAGAGGGCCCAUCCAGAUCUGGAGAAAUGUCCUUCAGUUUAUGACUCGCCCUCUGAGUUACGCGUGUGCCCCUGCAGCCGGCCAUGGGGCCUGAUGAUCUUCCACCGCGGCCCCACCUUCCAUAAUUCCUGUAAAACAGCAUUUGCUGGUCCACAAACACAAUACAGAGCCC
RNAcentral lists this long non-coding RNA (726 nucleotides) under Struthio camelus australis. Its description in RNAcentral is "lncRNA (ENSSCUG00000015491.1)". Lineage: Eukaryota; Metazoa; Chordata; Aves; Struthioniformes; Struthionidae. The record is from RNAcentral.